CGUAAUAAUAGAAACUAACCAGGAUUCCCUUAGUAACGGCGAGUGAACUGGGAUACCCAAUAUACCAUCUUGUGCGUACCUUCGGUGCGUACAAAAUUUUAGCCCGUCGAUACUAUCCUAGCAUAGUACUGGCUUCGGCCGGUAAACUAUCUAUGCGGGAAUUGUAGCAUCGUACAACAAAAAUAUAUUAUACACUGUAUAUACGCGCAUUGCAACACACACUUAUAUCCUACACUGCGUAUACGUACACUUGUAAACACACAGCGCUCCCGCGUUGGAAAGCAAGUCUAUAUCCUUUUUGGGUAUGCCAUAGAGUGUGACAGCCACGUUUCAACUCUCGUACGUACGCACACACACUGCACAUGCAUGCGUUAUAUAUAUACACACGUAUUUUAUAUAACCUGAGUCGAGUUAUUU
RNAcentral lists this ribosomal RNA (417 nucleotides) under Ammonia sp. RNAcentral describes it as "partial large subunit ribosomal RNA". Lineage: Eukaryota; Foraminifera; Rotaliida; Rotaliidae. The record is from RNAcentral.